This is a long non-coding RNA of Syngnathus typhle (broad-nosed pipefish), 756 nucleotides long. RefSeq lists it as uncharacterized. The record is from RefSeq and is a predicted model, not a curated record. NCBI's taxonomy places the organism in Eukaryota, Metazoa, Chordata, Actinopteri, Syngnathiformes, Syngnathidae. The transcript is spliced from 4 exons.
GUGGCGUACACAAUGGGAUGUCCGAGUAACGUCACAGAUCAAACGGCCAAGGGCGGGUGUGUCACAUUUCGCUUGGGCCAUGAUUUUUCGCUAAGGAAGUGGCCUGUCACGUGGUACGCGUGUGCCAAGCGCCAUUGGACGAGCAGGCGAGGACGAUUUGCAUCGGCGGAUGUGACGUCAUGAAACGGGGAAAGGCGCGCUCAAGGGAAGUUUUCAAAUACAAGUGCAUCCGCCCGCCCGCGAGCUAGCAUACUAGUAAAUGUUUGUCGUUCAUCGGCGUUCCUCACGACGGAGGCCUUGUUUGUUUGUUGCAGGAUUCAAGGCGAGUUCUCAAAUGCAGGCGCCACCGACCGCGUGGCGGUUUUAUUCGGGAUUCAAGGGGAGUUUUCGGAUACCGGCGCCAGCGACCGUGUGGCGGUUUCUCGGCGCUCAAAGGCCUCCCAGCCAGCACCCUUCUAUACAAAGCAAGCAGGAGGCUCCUGAGCCCUCUCAGUGAUGUUGAGGAUGCUGAGUAGUCCCAAAUCAGGUUUUUUUUGUAUGAAACCAGUGACGCCGGUGAGAAGUCACACCAUCGAACUCCCUGACGCAGAGCUGUGCUUUACCAUUAGCCAGACCAGGCAACUGCCUGGGGCAAGGCCACUAGGGGGCUCUCUUAUUUAUCCAUUUUUACAUUUGCCACUUGUCCCUUGUAUUCCUGCUCGUACGCUGCUGUGACAAGUAAAUUUCCCUGUUGUGGAAUAAAGUUCCAUCAAUCAA